This 253-nucleotide ribosomal RNA is filed under the name uncultured bacterium. RNAcentral describes it as "partial 16S ribosomal RNA". It matches the Rfam family "Bacterial small subunit ribosomal RNA", at positions 524 to 776 of the family's 1533-position model. The record is from RNAcentral.
GACGUAGGGGGCGAGCGUUGUCCGGAUUUAUUGGGCGUAAAGCGCGCGUAGGCGGCCGCGCAAGUCGGGGGUGAAAGCCUGUGGCUCGACCACAGAAUUGCCUUCGAUACUGUAGAGCUUGAGACCGGAAGAGGUAAGUGGAACUGCGAGUGUAGAGGUGAAAUUCGUAGAUAUUCGCAAGAACACCAGUGGCGAAGGCGGCUUACUGGUCCGGUUCUGACGCUGAGGCGCGAAAGCGUGGGGAGCAAACAGG